GCUCUUCCGAUUUCAGGUAUUGAUCGACUUGCGACCUAUGCAACUUACGACCAUUCGACUUUACGACCACAAUCACUAGCCACGACUGCUCUGCGUCUGGCAGCGCAAACGUUGCCCAGCUGGGCAUACGACAGUGCUGACCAGCUUC
Cebus imitator (Panamanian white-faced capuchin) is the source of this 148-nucleotide long non-coding RNA. RefSeq lists it as uncharacterized. The record is from RefSeq and is a predicted model, not a curated record. The transcript is spliced from 3 exons. NCBI's taxonomy places the organism in Eukaryota, Metazoa, Chordata, Mammalia, Primates, Cebidae.